This 482-nucleotide ribosomal RNA is filed under the name uncultured bacterium. RNAcentral describes it as "partial 16S ribosomal RNA". It matches the Rfam family "Bacterial small subunit ribosomal RNA", at positions 28 to 523 of the family's 1533-position model. The record is from RNAcentral.
AGUGAACGUUGGCGGCGUGGAUUAGGCAUGCAAGUCGAGCGAGAACCGUAGCAAUACGGGGACAGCGGCGAAAGGGACAGUAAUGUGUAGGUACCUACCUCCGGGUUCGGGAUAGCUGCGGGAAACUGCAGGUAAUACCGAAUAACGUCUCCGGACCAAAGGUGUGAUUCCACCUGGAGAGGGGCCUGCAUCCUAUUAGCUUGUUGGCGGGGUAACGGCCCACCAAGGCGACGAUGGGUAGCGGGUGUGAGAGCACGACCCGCGUCAUUGGGACUGAGACACUGCCCAGACACCUACGGGUGGCUGCAGUCGAGGAUCUUCGGCAAUGGGCGCAAGCCUGACCGAGCGACGCCGCGUGCGGGAUGAAGGCCUUCGGGUUGUAAACCGCUGUCGUAGAGGAGGAAAUGCAGGGGGGUUCUCCCCCCUGUUUGACCUAUUCUAGGAGGAAGGACGGGCUAAGUUCGUGCCAGCAGCCGCCGUAA